UAAAAACAUAACAGGUUAUAAUUUCCCGAACCCGUUAAAAUAACUAGGAGUAAUUAACCUAGUUAGUGGCUUGUGAUUAAGUGACUAAUGGUGAGGCAUAGCUUUAUUUGAUCAAAAGAAAACUAGAGGGACCAAAAGUGUUUAACUUGAAACUUAUAUCAAUAAAAAAAAACCCUCAAACACUCACAUUUGUGAGUGUCUGAGUUCGACCAGAAUGCCAGGGGCGACCAAGGGGAAGAACUCCAAACAUAGUUCUUGUUUAAAUCCACAAAUUGAAGGUCAAGAUCAGCCCUAAAACGAGAUCUGAACCCGGAUUAGUGAUCCCCAUUAAAAGGGGAGUCACAAGUUGACUCUAAACAAGCUAGGUGGGAGCUUGAAAAGGAACGGGUCAAACGGAUCAUGGAUGCGAAGAAUGUUUGCGCGGACGCGAGGGUAAAACGGCUUAUGGAAUUUACGUGGCUAUGAAUCAGCAAAUUAUUAAGGCAAGGUAUUAAAACGGGUCAAUACUUUGACCCGCGCCAGGUACGCGUAAAUUUGGUGAAAGAUAUGUGAAUA
This is a long non-coding RNA of Helianthus annuus (common sunflower), 555 nucleotides long. RefSeq lists it as uncharacterized. Lineage: Eukaryota; Viridiplantae; Streptophyta; Magnoliopsida; Asterales; Asteraceae. The record is from RefSeq and is a predicted model, not a curated record. The transcript has 3 exons.